Molecule: ribosomal RNA, 775 nt
Filed under: uncultured Neocallimastigales
Lineage: Eukaryota; Fungi; Neocallimastigomycota; Neocallimastigomycetes; Neocallimastigales
Description: partial large subunit ribosomal RNA
Rfam family: Eukaryotic large subunit ribosomal RNA
Source: RNAcentral
GACUAGAGUAGCACUCGCAUAUCAAUAAGCGGAGGAAAAGAAACUAACAAGGAUUCCCCUAGUAACGGCGAGUGAAGCGGGAAGAGCUCAAAUAUGAAAUCUUAAAGGGUUUCCCUUUACGAAUUGUAGUUUAAAGAGGUGUUUUCUGUUGAGGUUUUGGUAAAAGCUCUUUGGAAUAGGACAUCAUAGAGGGUGAGAAUCCCGUAUUUGACCUUUACUUUCAACUUUGUGAUACACUUUCAAAGAGUCGGAUUGUUUGGGAAUGCAGUCCAAAAUGGGUGGUAAAUUUCAUCUAAAGCUAAAUAUUGGCGAGAGACCGAUAGCGAACAAGUACCGUGAGGGAAAGAUGAAAAGAACUUUGAAAAGAGAGUUAAACAGUACGUGAAAUUGUCAAAAGGGAAGCGUUUGACACCAGUGUUGUUUUUCUGAAAAUCAAUUAAAGAACUGUUUAUGCUAAGCUUGUUUAGACUUUAUCAGCUAUCUGUUUAGUUUUGAGCUUUUCUUUAAUGCACUUUUCAGUUAACAAGUCAACAUCAAUUUCUUUUGCUGUAAAAAAGCUUGAGGAAGGUGGCUUGAGAUUCGUCUUAAGUGUUUAUAGCCUCUUGCCUAUGCAGUCGGAGAGAUUGAGGUCUGCAGCGUAGAUCCUUCGGGGCUAAAUGCAUCUGUGCUAAGUUAUAGCAUUUUAUAGACAACUUGUUGACUAUGAUUUGUCUUGUAGCUUACUCGCUUAUGUUAUUUUACCUACGCUUAGGAUGUUGAACUACUGAGACAUAGA